AAUUUUCCCUCCAAACAAGUUAAAUCCCUAAAUCUCAUCUCUCGGAUCCCUCGAGGCUUCGAGUUCAUCGGAGAAGAAUCUUCCCUUCGGGACGAAAAGAGCUGCCGAUCCUUUUGUUGAAUAUGGUAACCAUUUGGAAACUGUAAUCCGGGGCUUCGAAUUGUAUCUCCUCCUCCAAUCUCCUGCAAACUGCGUUGUUUCAAAGAUCAGCAGUGAAGGAAUACGGCCAUCUGCAUUUUGGCGAAAUCUGCCCCUACACAGAGCCUCAUGCCACCACCAAAUGCCAUGAAAUGUUUUGAUGCGUUACUGGUUUCCAAUCCCUGUUUGAUUCCAUUUUAAAGUUGCUGAUAUUUUUGAGGUUGCUUGUGUAAAGGGGUCUAAGAAGUUUGGCUCACCUCCCAUCUUGAAGGGUUGAAGAUAAGAGGAUCUUCAUAUGUGUCUGGAUUCAAAUGUACGGCAGGAGGACAGAUUAUCAGUCCCCAACCGGCUGGAAUGGAAGCAUCUUCUUGAGACCUUCGUGGCCAACGAGGGUCAGGACCAUGUUCUUGAGGUACUUGUACAUGAACCCAUGCAGUGUACUCAAAUUCUGCCUUCCAAAGAUCCGAACGAAGGUGUCAGGGGUGGGAUGUCUGAAGUGAUAUUUGGCUUGAGGAACUGAAGUGUCUCCCCAAGAAGCGGAAAGGCCAUGGAACCGGGAGGCAGAGUUCCAUUG
This is a long non-coding RNA of Tarenaya hassleriana, 712 nucleotides long. RefSeq lists it as uncharacterized. The record is from RefSeq and is a predicted model, not a curated record. The transcript is spliced from 5 exons. NCBI's taxonomy places the organism in Eukaryota, Viridiplantae, Streptophyta, Magnoliopsida, Brassicales, Cleomaceae.